CCUAGGGAGGUAGCAGUGAGGAAGAUUGGGCAAGGGACGAGAGUCGGAACCAGUCAAGUAGGGGGAAGGAGGAACGACCUAAGGGAUGUAAACUUCUUUUAUAUGGGAAUAAAACGUUCCACGUGUGGGAUUUUGUAUGUACCAUAUGAAUAAGGAUCGGCUAACUCCGUGCCAGCAGCCGCGGUAAUACGGAGGAUCCGAGCGUUAUACGGAUUUAUUGGGUUUAAAGGGGGCGUAAGUGGAUUGUUAAGUCAGUUGUGAAAGUUUGCGGCUCAACCGUAAAAUUGCAGUUGAAACUGGCAGUCUUGAGUACAGUAGAGGUGGGCGGAAUUCGUGGUGUAGCGGUGAAAUGCUUAGAUAUCACGAAGAACUCCGAUUGCGAAGGCAGUUCACUGGACUGCAACUGACACUGAGGCUCGAAAGUGUGGGUAUCAAACAGGAUUAGAUACCCCUGUAGUC
RNAcentral lists this ribosomal RNA (459 nucleotides) under uncultured bacterium. Its description in RNAcentral is "partial 16S ribosomal RNA". It matches the Rfam family "Bacterial small subunit ribosomal RNA", at positions 338 to 795 of the family's 1533-position model. The record is from RNAcentral.